RNAcentral lists this ribosomal RNA (492 nucleotides) under uncultured bacterium. RNAcentral's name for it is "partial 16S ribosomal RNA". It matches the Rfam family "Bacterial small subunit ribosomal RNA", at positions 29 to 507 of the family's 1533-position model. The record is from RNAcentral.
AGUGAACGCUGGCGGUAGGCCUAACACAUGCAAGUCGAACGGCAGCACAGUAAGAGCUUGCUCUUACGGGUGGCGAGUGGCGGACGGGUGAGGAAUACAUCGGAAUCUACUUUUUCGUGGGGGAUAACGUAGGGAAACUUACGCUAAUACCACAUACGACCUACGGGUGAAAGCAGGGGAUCUUCGGACCUUGCGCGAUUGAAUGAGCCGAUGUCGGAUUAGCUAGUUGGCGGGGUGAAGGCCCACCAAGGCGACGAUCCGUAGCUGGUCUGAGAGGAUGAUCAGCCACACUGGAACUGAGACACGGUCCAGACUCCUACGGGAGGCAGCAGUGGGGAAUAUUGGACAAUGGGCGCAAGCCUGAUCCAGCCAUACCGCGUGGGUGAAGAAGGCCUUCGGGUUGUAAAGCCCUUUUGUUGGGAAAGAAAAGCAGCAGGUUAAUACCCCGCUGUUCUGACGGUACCCAAAGAAUAAGCACCGGCUAACUUCGUG